CAAAGAACACCAUCGUUUUUCAGCAGCCGGGACUGGGAAACUGGUCAGAGUUGAGGGAAAGAUGGAUGGUGCUAAAUACAGGGAUAUUCUUGAGCAAAACCUGUACCACUCUGUGCGUGAUUUGAGGCUAGGACAGAGGUUCACCUUCCAGCAGGACAAUGACCCCAAACACACUGCUAAAGCAACACUUGAGUGGUUUAAGGGGAAACAUGAAACGGUGUUGGAAUGGCCUAGUCAAAGCCCAGACCUCAAUCCAAUAGAAAAU
This 265-nucleotide long non-coding RNA is filed under the name Pelobates cultripes (western spadefoot toad). Lineage: Eukaryota; Metazoa; Chordata; Amphibia; Anura; Pelobatidae. The record is from RNAcentral.